Molecule: long non-coding RNA, 1105 nt
Filed under: Cottoperca gobio
Lineage: Eukaryota; Metazoa; Chordata; Actinopteri; Perciformes; Bovichtidae
Description: lncRNA (ENSCGOG00000017848.1)
Source: RNAcentral
UAAUCGCCCUCAUCUGGACGACGGAUUGGACAGCUGCGAGGAGGCGAGAGGAGGAUUCUCACCCACACAUGGGAGAGUUUUCAUCUGGAAGUCGGUUCCAUCUGAAGGAGCUUCUGCCACAUAUGUACUUUUCUUCAGCAGUUAUUUAUUAUGAUGAUCAGAAGCAGCAGAGGGCGCUACCUUUACCUGAAGAGCUGGUUUUGUUCAGACGUAAGAGACAGUUGGAGCGGAGGGGUCCCACCCACAUGAGCCACUCCAGCCUGCCGGGGUCCUUCUCCGCCAAAGGCUUCCCCAAUACUCUCAUCCAGGCUGAUAGGUCCAGGCGACACUUGGCUCAAGCUGCGAAUAAGAAAAAGAACAAGCGUAAAUCCCGCGUCGGCUCCUUCUCCCUCCUUAGCAACGACAAAUCCACCCCCCUACAGGUGAUCAGAGCGAGACGACAGCUGAAGACCGAUCCAUCCAAAGGCAGGAACUCUGGUCGUACUGGUGCUUUAUCCGUCCUGGGAGAUUCACUGAGCGACGGACAGAGCGACGGACAGAACGACAGACCCAAAAGAAGCGUACAGAAGACGAGUGCUGGGAAAUAAAACGCUCUAACUUCGGGGUGUGCACAUUACAACCGUGUGUCCCCAAAAACAUGUAGAAGAACUUCGGUUUAUGUGCUUUGAGUUAUGUUGACGUGUGUGUCCACCAUCACUGUUUCAACUGUAAGAUUAUCAGUCUGCACUUAUGGAUACUUUUUAUAUACUAUUUUAAGUUUCUAAUAUAUUCCUGCAUCUUAUAAAAUCACAAAUGAUCCCAUAUUAAUAUUAUACUUUGCCAUUUUUGCUGUAACCUAUUUAAUCACAGAUUCCUUAUGAAUAUUGGGGGUAUAUUUUUGCAGAAAUAUUUCUUGUGUUGUAUCAGAUUUCAAUAAAAGUUUAGUAGACACAUAUGAUGUACGCGUCUUUAAACAUUGAGCACGUUAUGCUUCUCUAUAAAAGUGCUUAAUGCUUCUGAGCUCCAUUCAGAAGUUGUAUAACAGUAGCAGCUCAGUCUUUCCUUGUCGCCUUCCCAGAAUGACACGUUACAUUUCCCACUUGAGGGUCUGUGAAACUGACCGACU